RNAcentral lists this ribosomal RNA (374 nucleotides) under uncultured eukaryote. RNAcentral describes it as "partial 18S ribosomal RNA". It matches the Rfam family "Eukaryotic small subunit ribosomal RNA", at positions 592 to 975 of the family's 1831-position model. The record is from RNAcentral.
CAAUAGCGUAUAUUUAAGUUGUUGCAGUUAAAAAGCUCGUAGUUGGAUUUCGGUUAAGAGCGACCGGUCCGCCGUUUGGUGUGCACUGGUUGGUUUUAACUUCCUGUAGGGGACGUGCUCUGGGUUUAACGACCUGGACUCGGAGUCUACGUGGUUACUUUGAAAAAAUUAGAGUGUUCAAAGCGGGCUUACGCUUGAAUAUUUCAGCAUGGAAUAACACUAUAGGACUCCUGUCCUAUUUCGUUGGUCUCGGGACGGGAGUAAUGAUUAAGAGGAACAGUUGGGGGCAUUCGUAUUUCAUUGUCAGAGGUGAAAUUCUUGGAUUUAUGAAAGACGAACUUCUGCGAAAGCAUUUGCCAAGGAUGUUUUCAUUA